Molecule: transfer RNA, 84 nt
Filed under: Candidatus Magasanikbacteria bacterium RIFCSPHIGHO2_02_FULL_48_18
Lineage: Bacteria; Candidatus Magasanikiibacteriota
Also listed under: 2 other names
Description: tRNA-Leu
Rfam family: tRNA
About the family: Transfer RNA (tRNA) molecules are approximately 80 nucleotides in length. Their secondary structure includes four short double-helical elements and three loops (D, anti-codon, and T loops). Further hydrogen bonds mediate the characteristic L-shaped molecular structure. tRNAs have two regions of fundamental functional importance: the anti-codon, which is responsible for specific mRNA codon recognition, and the 3' end, to which the tRNAs corresponding amino acid is attached (by aminoacyl-tRNA synthetases). tRNAs cope with the degeneracy of the genetic code in two manners: having more than one tRNA (with a specific anti-codon) for a particular amino acid; and 'wobble' base-pairing, i.e. permitting non-standard base-pairing at the 3rd anti-codon position.
Source: RNAcentral
GCCGAUGUGGUGAAAUUGGUAGACACGCAUGCUUCAGGUGCAUGUCCCGCUUGCGGGAUGUGGGUUCGAGUCCCACCAUCGGCA